Molecule: ribosomal RNA, 477 nt
Filed under: Candidatus Scalindua brodae
Lineage: Bacteria; Pseudomonadati; Planctomycetota; Candidatus Brocadiia; Candidatus Brocadiales; Candidatus Scalinduaceae
Also listed under: 1 other name
Description: bacterial SSU rRNA
Rfam family: Bacterial small subunit ribosomal RNA
Source: RNAcentral
UUCGCAAUGCCCGAAAGGGUGACGAAGCGACGCCGCGUGGGUGAGGAAGGCCUUCGGGUUGUAAAGCCCUGUCAGGAGUUAAGAAAUGUAAGUGCGCUAAUAUCGCAUUUAUAUGACGAAGGCUCCAAAGGAAGUCACGGCUAACUCUGUGCCAGCAGCCGCGGUAAUACAGAGGUGGCAAGCGUUGUUCGGAAUUAUUGGGCGUAAAGAGCACGUAGGUGGGUUUGUAAGUCAGAUGUGAAAGCCUUCUGUUCAACGGAAGAAUUGCAUCUGAAACUACAAACCUUGAGUGUAGGAGGGGAGAAUGGAACUUCUGGUGGAGCGGUGAAAUGCGUAGAUAUCAGAAGGAACGCCGGCGGCGAAAGCGAUUCUCUGGCCUAUUACUGACACUCAGUGUGCGAAAGCUGGGGGAGCAAACGGGAUUAGAUACCCCGGUAGUCCUAGCCGUAAACGAUGGGCACUAAGUAGAGGGGUUUU